Long non-coding RNA from Mauremys reevesii (Reeves's turtle), 579 nucleotides. RefSeq lists it as uncharacterized. NCBI's taxonomy places the organism in Eukaryota, Metazoa, Chordata, Testudines, Geoemydidae. The record is from RefSeq and is a predicted model, not a curated record. The transcript is spliced from 4 exons.
CUGCUGAAGGAGACAGACGCUUCUUCCUCACUGCUGGAGAGGGACGCCAAGGAGAACCACUGCUGCACCGGGGACCAGCCUGAGCUUCCAGAGAGCCCUGCCACGCACAAUGCUGAGGAGCUGCUACUGAUACCCUUGAGGAACACCUUCAAUACACAUGAGCAGGCAUCUUUGGAAAGUGAGGGCAAGAAGAACUGACUGGCAAGAACUAACAGAGGUAAUAGUUGACGGGAAAGGAAAGAGAAACGACAUUCAGGAUGGACAACAGCACAAGAUGAACACGUUUAACAGGUCCUCAGUUAGCAUUUGUCUGAAUCCUUUAUUAAAACCCAAGAAUAUCAGGAUUCUCAUCUACACCUGCACUUCUGUUCCUGAACCCACAAGUUGCGGCAUUAAAAGGAACAUCACAAACGGUGACAGAAUAAUGUCCAAUAGCAUAAGAUAUUGCGCAUAUAUGUGUGUGAUUAAAUAUAUAUGUUAAAAAAGGCACUAAACGAAUUAAAAAAGGCAGCCAGCCAGACCAACAAAACAAUCUUAAUAGGGGCAAACAACAUGACAGCAGCAUAUGAUCUGCUCAAC